This 979-nucleotide long non-coding RNA is filed under the name Monodelphis domestica (gray short-tailed opossum). RNAcentral's name for it is "lncRNA (ENSMODG00000040495.1)". The record is from RNAcentral. Lineage: Eukaryota; Metazoa; Chordata; Mammalia; Didelphimorphia; Didelphidae.
CAGCAGGGAAGUGACUGACUGCAGACAGCACUGUUUAAGUGGCUUAUUAACUUAUGUUUAUAACUCUCACAGUCUCACCUUACCAUCAGGCUUUAAUACAGGCUAACUGGGCUAGAGCCACUCUGUCACGAUAAUUGGUUCAAGGACAAUUUUUUUUGAUGAAAGGUAGAUUAGCUUAGAAUAUAACAUACUGGGCUUGGUUUUGAGAAGACUAAUGCACAAAUCUCUAUUCAGACACUUAUUCAUUGUGCAAUCCUAGUAUAAGGAUUUUAUAACUUUCCCUCCCCAUUAAACAAGCCCCAAGGAAACUCAAACACCCCUUGACAGGGACUCUCUCACCUUGUCAGAGAAAGGCUAGGAGAAUGGGCCCAGAACCUAUUCCAGUCCCCAACAGGGCAGCAGGGAGUUUGCAUACCAAGUAGUUUCCAAUUCCCUAGGAUUCUUUCUUCCCCUCUCUUGCAUAAAUCAGCAACAAUAUCUAGGUCAAGGUAGUUCAUAUCCUUCUCACAAUAGAGAAGGGGGUCCUGUUAGACCUAAAUAAGAAUGCUCUAAAAAGUUAAGAUUGUAUUGCUCUAGGAGAGAAGAGGAGAGAGGAUGCUCCAUUCUAUCCUGUGUCCUAGUAGGAUUCUCAUUUUCUCCUAGUGCCAAAUGGACCUGCUUCAUCGCUUUUCCUCAUGUCCCUGCAUUUUGAAGGAGAUUGAUAAACCCGAGAACAAUGAGAGCAUGGCAUUCAGGAGAAUGCAGGACUUAGAGUUCAUGCCAAAAGAAGACUGAAGAAACAGAUUAUGUUUAAAUUGGAUCAGAGAAGUUUGAUGGGGACAUAAAAAUUCAAUCAGACUAAGUUCUGGGAAUACAAAGAAAAGUAAAAACAAGGAAAGUGAAAACAUGAUACCAUGUCCUAAAGGAGAAGGUAAUUUGAAAAUUAUACAUAUAUUUACAUAUGCAUACAAUUCUAUAUGUAUAUGUAUGUUAUUGCUCU